RNAcentral lists this ribosomal RNA (433 nucleotides) under uncultured bacterium. RNAcentral describes it as "partial 16S ribosomal RNA". It matches the Rfam family "Bacterial small subunit ribosomal RNA", at positions 29 to 507 of the family's 1533-position model. The record is from RNAcentral.
AACGAACGCUGGCGGCAUGCCUAACACAUGCAAGUCGAACGAGACCUUCGGGUCUAGUGGCGCACGGGUGCGUAACGCGUGGGAACCUGCCCUUAGGUUCGGAAUAACUCCCCGAAAGGGGUGCUAAUACCGGAUAAUGUCUUCGGACCAAAGAUUUAUCGCCUUUGGAUGGGCCCGCGUUGGAUUAGCUAGUUGGUAGGGUAAAAGCCUACCAAGGCGACGAUCCAUAGCUGGUCUGAGAGGAUGAUCAGCCACACUGGGACUGAGACACGGCCCAGACUCCUACGGGAGGCAGCAGUGGGGAAUAUUGGACAAUGGGCGAAAGCCUGAUCCAGCAAUGCCGCGUGAGUGAUGAAGGCCUUAGGGUUGUAAAGCUCUUUUAACCGGGAUGAGAAUGACAGUACCGGGAGAAUAAGCUCCGGCUAACUCCGUG